This is a long non-coding RNA of Amphiprion ocellaris (clown anemonefish), 837 nucleotides long. Lineage: Eukaryota; Metazoa; Chordata; Actinopteri; Pomacentridae. The record is from Ensembl.
CAGGUUCGUAAUCGUCUCUGAUUGGCUGAGACAUUGGAGCCGUUUUCUCUCGGUUUAACUUGUCAGGCACAAUGCGGAACAGCGUUAAAGUUUUGCAAAGCCAGGGGGCGGGACUACUUGAUUGACAGUCCGGUCUGGAAUGAUUGACAGGUCCUAUGGAGGAGGCAGCCGAGACUCUGCUCUCCUCGUUUGGAUUAAUUCUGAUAUAAUAACUGUUGGUUUAUUUAUCGGUGCAGCAGCAGACCAUUUUCUACAUACAGUUUUCCUGCCCGUUGGCUUGUUUUAACUAGUUUUCUACCUUCGGCUGAUUCUACCAGCAGACACUGAAAGGACUCUGAUAGUUCGAGUGAAAGUAGCAGUUCCUCCUUAAGGUCAGAGAUUGCAGCAUCUGAGGGCCUCUUCAAAAGAAGAUGUAGUUGAUGAAGGCGUUCUGGAGCAGGACCAGAAAGACCACGACCAAGCAGCCUUGAGAUCUUAGGCAGCAUCUCCCUCAGGUCCCUCUCUAUCUCCCCACACAUCCACCAACCACUGGAACACAACUCCAAAGUUCUGCCGGGCCAGCUCAGCUUCCCCUCAGAAGAAGUGGGACGAGUCAACGGAGGCCGGGUGGACGAAGGCAUGCAGCUGAGUACAAUCCAGAAAACAACAGAGGAGGAGUGCAGCGGCCCAGGGCCACAACAAACAGAGUAGCAUCAUAUGUCUCUUAGAAAACAUCAUAGUAUAGCCUUUGGUAUGAAAAAACACCAUCAUAUACAUCGUAUAUUGUACAAAUAACAAGUCAAAGGAAAGAGACAUACAUUGUAGAAUUGUAGUAAUUGUGGGCUGACUGAUUUACCG